GGUGAGAUGGAAUAAUUGGUUAGUUCAUUGGGUUCAUGCCCCAAAGGUGUAGGUUCGAGUCCUACUCUUGCCA
Molecule: non-coding RNA, 73 nt
Organism: Dictyostelium discoideum
Lineage: Eukaryota; Evosea; Eumycetozoa; Dictyosteliales; Dictyosteliaceae
Source: Rfam